RNAcentral lists this ribosomal RNA (481 nucleotides) under uncultured bacterium. RNAcentral describes it as "partial 16S ribosomal RNA". It matches the Rfam family "Bacterial small subunit ribosomal RNA", at positions 30 to 507 of the family's 1533-position model. The record is from RNAcentral.
AUUGAACGCUGGCGGCAUGCUUUACACAUGCAAGUCGAACGGUAACAGGCCGCAAGGUGCUGACGAGUGGCGAACGGGUGAGUAAUGCAUCGGAACGUGCCCAGUCGUGGGGGAUAACUACUCGAAAGAGUAGCUAAUACCGCAUACGAUCUAUGGAUGAAAGCGGGGGACCGUAGGCCUCGCGCGAUUGGAGCGGCCGAUGUCAGAUUAGGUAGUUGGUGGGGUAAAGGCUCACCAAGCCAACGAUCUGUAGCUGGUCUGAGAGGACGACCAGCCACACUGGGACUGAGACACGGCCCAGACUCCUACGGGAGGCAGCAGUGGGGAAUUUUGGACAAUGGGCGCAAGCCUGAUCCAGCAAUGCCGCGUGCAGGAAGAAGGCCUUCGGGUUGUAAACUGCUUUUGUACGGAACGAAACGGCUCUGGUUAAUACCCGGGGCUAAUGACGGUACCGUAAGAAUAAGCACCGGCUAACUACGUG